GGAUGAACGCUGGCGGCGUGCCUAAUACAUGCAAGUCGAGCGAACAGACGAGGAGCUUGCUCCUCUGACGUUAGCGGCGGACGGGUGAGUAACACGUGGAUAACCUACCUAUAAGACUGGGAUAAUUUCGGGAAACCGGAGCUAAUACCGGAUAAUAUAUUGAACCGCAUGGUUCAAUAGUGAAAGACGGUUUUGCUGUCACUUAUAGAUGGAUCCGCGCCGCAUUAGCUAGUUGGUAAGGUAACGGCUUACCAAGGCAACGAUGCGUAGCCGACCUGAGAGGGUGAUCGGCCACACUGGAACUGAGACACGGUCCAGACUCCUACGGGAGGCAGCAGUAGGGAAUCUUCCGCAAUGGGCGAAAGCCUGACGGAGCAACGCCGCGUGAGUGAUGAAGGUCUUCGGAUCGUAAAACUCUGUUAUUAGGGAAGAACAAAUGUGUAAGUAACUAUGCACGUCUUGACGGUACCUAAUCAGAAAGCCACGGCUAACUACGUG
RNAcentral lists this ribosomal RNA (498 nucleotides) under uncultured bacterium. Its description in RNAcentral is "partial 16S ribosomal RNA". It matches the Rfam family "Bacterial small subunit ribosomal RNA", at positions 27 to 507 of the family's 1533-position model. The record is from RNAcentral.